This 217-nucleotide unclassified non-coding RNA is filed under the name uncultured Acidobacteriota bacterium. RNAcentral describes it as "uncultured Acidobacteria bacterium contains 16S-23S intergenic spacer region". It matches the Rfam family "Bacterial small subunit ribosomal RNA", at positions 976 to 1195 of the family's 1533-position model. The record is from RNAcentral. Lineage: Bacteria; Pseudomonadati; Acidobacteriota.
UGGGCUCGAAGCGCAGUGGACCGGGGUAGAAAUAUCCCUUUUCGCAAGAACUGCUGCGGAGGUGCUGCAUGGCUGUCGUCAGCUCGUGUCGUGAGAUGUUGGGUUAAGUCCCGCAACGAGCGCAACCCUUAUCCCUAGUUGCCAUCAGGUCAAGCUGGGCACUCUAGUGAAACCGCCCCGGAUAACGGGGAGGAAGGUGGGGAUGACGUAGUCUACG